UACGGAGGGUGCAAACGUUGCUCGGAAUCAUUGGGCGUAAAGCGCACGUAGGCGGCCCAGCAAGUCGGGUGUGAAAGCCCUCGGCUUAACCGAGGAAGUGCAUUCGAAACUACUGAGCUUGAAUACUGGAGGGGAUCGCGGAAUUCCCGGUGUAGAGGUGAAAUUCGUAGAUAUCGGGAGGAACACCAGUGGCGAAGGCGGCGAUCUGGACAGAUAUUGACGCUGAGGUGCGAAAGCGUGGGGAGCAAACAGG
Molecule: ribosomal RNA, 253 nt
Filed under: uncultured bacterium
Lineage: Bacteria
Description: partial 16S ribosomal RNA
Rfam family: Bacterial small subunit ribosomal RNA
Source: RNAcentral